Molecule: long non-coding RNA, 552 nt
Organism: Cucumis melo (muskmelon)
Lineage: Eukaryota; Viridiplantae; Streptophyta; Magnoliopsida; Cucurbitales; Cucurbitaceae
Exons: 2
Source: RefSeq, a predicted model, not a curated record
CCAGACACCCCUUGUAAAGUUCUUUCUUCUUUCUUAAUUAAAGCAUACUUGUCUUAUUAUUGUUCUUUCCACUACGCUUAGCAUGUUCCUAAUAUCCCUUUAAGAAGUUUAAGGUGACUUAGUCACCAAGAAAGAAAUGUCUAAGUGCUGCAUGGGCAAGAAAAGAGUCAUUCUACGUCACAAUAUCUAUUUUAGGACAAAAUGAACUCAACUGGAGGUUUAAAGUUUUAACAGAGCAAGGAAACUCGAGUUGGUGCAUUGAAGGCACAACGUCGCAGCAUCUUAAGGUAGAAGGGUCUUGUUCAGACAAAGUGCAUGGCGUUGUGACACUACAGAGUUUUUGAAAAUGGGUGUUGCAUGCAUUUGGACAGCGUCGAAAUGCUGAAUCCUAAUGUUGCGGCAUUGUGCCAUAUAUAUUUUUUUUUAUUUAUAUCUAGCCGUUGUCAUUUGUUGGGAUACGUUUUUACGUAAAUUUUUAGACAUUUUCUCCAAAACUCUCUACACUUUCUCGAACAAUUUGAUUAAAGACUUUCAUUGAUUUUUGUGGAUGCA